GUGAGUAACGCGUAGGUAACCUGCCUGGUAGCGGGGGAUAACUAUUGGAAACGAUAGCUAAUACCGCAUAAUAGUAGAUGUUGCAUGACAUUUGCUUAAAAGGUGCAAUUGCAUCACUACCAGAUGGACCUGCGUUGUAUUAGCUAGUUGGUGAGGUAACGGCUCACCAAGGCGACGAUACAUAGCCGACCUGAGAGGGUGAUCGGCCACACUGGGACUGAGACACGGCCCAGACUCCUACGGGAGGCAGCAGUAGGGAAUCUUCGGCAAUGGACGGAAGUCUGACCGAGCAAACGCCGCGUGAGUGAAAGAAAGGUUUUUCGGAUCGUAAAAGCUCUGUUGUAA
RNAcentral lists this ribosomal RNA (345 nucleotides) under Streptococcus mitis. Its description in RNAcentral is "bacterial SSU rRNA". It matches the Rfam family "Bacterial small subunit ribosomal RNA", at positions 106 to 441 of the family's 1533-position model. Lineage: Bacteria; Bacillati; Bacillota; Bacilli; Lactobacillales; Streptococcaceae. The record is from RNAcentral.